RNAcentral lists this long non-coding RNA (998 nucleotides) under Nicotiana benthamiana. RNAcentral describes it as "long non-coding RNA (NBEN_LNC039941)". The record is from RNAcentral. Lineage: Eukaryota; Viridiplantae; Streptophyta; Magnoliopsida; Solanales; Solanaceae.
AUGCUUGCAGUUAUAUGACUGGUGUCAUACUUUACUAAUCAUUAAACUUUCAGACAAAGCUACAAACCAAUUGGUGUUACUGCCUUACGAAAUUGUCCAGGAUAAACACAUUAGCUACAAUUCCACCACAAACUUGAACUAUUAUGGUUGAAUGUUUAGACAGAAAAUUGCUAAGAUAAACAAGCUAACUCUAAGUGAUCACAAAUCAACGAUCCAGCAAUCUAUAUAUCACAGGUCUAUCAGUUCAAUUACACAAUCCAAUUGAUUAAAUCAAACCACAUAGAGCUGAUAAAAGCACAAUGAGAUUCACAAGUGAAAGAUAAACAACAGGAGCUUCAGUGUACAUUCCAUUUUUUCUCAACAAACGAUCCACAUAGUACUGAGUUUCCGGCGAGUACCUGGUUUUGAAUUAUAGCAAAGAAGAACAGGGUCAGCGGAAGCAAGUGAACGGCAGCACUAGCAGUAGGCGAGAUUUAGCAAUACAAAACAACACACAGCCCAGAAAAUGAGUCCAGAUGUCCUAGGAAAGUUGAGAACUCAAAUGAAACCAAUAAAUCGAACCAAAACAACCCAAAAUGCACUCAGUCACACCAGCAACCUAUCAGCACCUCUCCACAUCCCCUAAUAUCAAUCUAUACCAAUUUAAUUAGACUCAAAACUGCUUGGAACCGACCCAAAAACCAUUCUGAACAUCAGCAAUCAAACAGUGGACCAAAAGAUGUGAAUUAACAACUAGAACAUCAAAAUUAACCUACAAUUUCCAAUGAAACAUUGACUUUUUGGUUUCUUUUUUUAAAAAGCUUCUAAUAUUUUUGGUUUUCUGUAUGAAGAAAGAUAAAACUAAGGGAAUUUCAGAUCUGAAUUUCGGAUCUGGAAGCUUGGGGGCAUUUUUGGACUGCCAAACUUGUGAAUGAAGUAAAGGGAAUGCCCUUUUAUAGGCCCAAAUGAGGACAGCCCUCAUAUUUUCAGUUUGCACUAUUAGUCCCUUCUUAUUUUCG